RNAcentral lists this long non-coding RNA (636 nucleotides) under Sus scrofa (pig). RNAcentral's name for it is "lncRNA (ENSSSCG00030074775.1)". Lineage: Eukaryota; Metazoa; Chordata; Mammalia; Artiodactyla; Suidae. The record is from RNAcentral.
CCGAGGCCCCGCCCUCUGGCUGACUCGGAGCAGCCCAGCCAGGCAGCGGGCAACCAGGAAGGAACAAGGCUGACCCCCUGGCUUUGAGCAGAGAACAGGAGGCCCUCCGGAGAGGCCGGCGGUCCACGAGGGCGACUGUGAAACCAGGGACCCUGAGGAGACUUCUCUCCUUCACCUGAACUCUACGAGGAGAUGGAGCCUGGGUGCCAGGAGAGACCCCUGUGCCCGUCCCUCUCCUCCGGGAGCCAAGACGAAUGUGGGAUGUCUCUGAACGUCCUCCGGGAGGAGCCCCAUCUCAGAGCUGCUCCUCAGGGCCCGAGCCGAAGGACCGGGAUGCGGGGCUGGAGAGACAGGCCAUCCACGAACAGACAAAGGGGGGGCACCAAGCUCCACGAGAGGCAGGCCUGCGGCCCCAGGGAGACAACGGUGCCCUGGGACCAGGUGCCAAUGGAACGUGAGUGAUGCCAGCAGCUGCCAGGGGCCACUUUACAAAGGACGAGGGGAGCUGGGGCCAUAGGGCUGGAUGGUUGUUCCCAACACUGGGUAAUUUAAAGCAAGGAAAUGAUAGGCUCGAAUCAAAAUGUUCGCCUCAAGGCACAGAAUAAAAUUCAAGGCCAUUAUAUGAAAGAAUCUUUU